AGCUCCAAUAGCGUAUACUAACGUUGUUGCAGUUAAAAAGCUCGUAGUUGGAUUUCUGUUAGGGUGAGGCGGCCGGCCACUCGUGGUUGUAGCUUGUUAUCACCUUGGCAUCUUGUCACAAUCCGUGAUGGCAUUAACUUGUUGUCGCUGGGGACUGACUCGUUUACUUUGAGAAAAUUAGAGUGUUCAAAGCAGGCUAUCGCCUUGAAUAUAUUAGCAUGGAAUAAUAAUAUAGGACUUUGGUUCUAUUUUGUUGGUUGUUCGAGAACCGAAGUAAUGAUUGAUAGGGACAGUUGGGGGCGUCAGUAUUCUGAAGCGAGAGGUGAAAUUCUUGGACCUUCGGAAGACUAACAACUGCGAAAGCAUUCGCCUAGGAUGUUCUCU
RNAcentral lists this ribosomal RNA (384 nucleotides) under uncultured eukaryote. RNAcentral describes it as "SSU rRNA". It matches the Rfam family "Eukaryotic small subunit ribosomal RNA", at positions 587 to 972 of the family's 1831-position model. The record is from RNAcentral.